This 537-nucleotide unclassified non-coding RNA is filed under the name Hevea brasiliensis (rubber tree). Lineage: Eukaryota; Viridiplantae; Streptophyta; Magnoliopsida; Malpighiales; Euphorbiaceae. The record is from RNAcentral.
UUUCAGCCAUUCAGAAGCCAUCCACGGUUCAAUGAACUGCUUGACAACAUAUUUAUGGUUUUGGACUUCUUCAACAGUCGCAUGGAUGCCCAAAAGAUGGAUGGGGAAUGGUCUGUAGAGAAAGUACUGCAAGUGAUUAUUGUUAAUUGCCGAUCUUGGAGGGUUGACGGACUAAAGAUGUUUACCCAAUUGCGUUUCACAUAUGAACAAGAGAGUCGUCCUGAGGAGUUCUUCAUUCCAUAUGUGUGGCAGCUGGUGUUGUCUCGGAGUGGUCUCAACUUUUCUCCUAGCAGGAUACAUCUUUUCCCGGCUGACCUUCCUCUCCAAGAUAGUAUUGGCAAGGAGGUUGAAAAUCCUCAGAAAGGUGACAUGAAAGGAAAUGAGUUAAAGAUAGAGGUACCAGUUUGACGGGUUGUCGUCUCAGAAGGCUAAGCUGUGUAUAUACAUACAUGUAUCUAUAGAUAUGUAUUCUUGUCAUUCUUUUCUGUUCAUAACUUAAAGAGUAGAAGAUUUCUCUUACAGCUGAGUGAAUUGAAA